AGUCGAGCGGUAGAGAGGUGCUUGCACCUCUUGAGAGCGGCGGACGGGUGAGUAAAGCCUAGGAAUCUGCCUGGUAGUGGGGGAUAACGCUCGGAAACGGACGCUAAUACCGCAUACGUCCUACGGGAGAAAGCAGGGGACCUUCGGACCUUGCGCUAUCAGAUGAGCCUAGGUCGGAUUAGCUAGUUGGUGAGGUAAUGGCUCACCAAGGCGACGAUCCGUAACUGGUCUGAGAGGAUGAUCAGUCACACUGGAACUGAGACACGGUCCAGACUCCUACGGGAGGCAGCAGUGGGGAAUAUUGGACAAUGGGCGAAAGCCUGAUCCAGCCAUGCCGCGUGUGUGAAGAAGGUCUUCGGAUUGUAAAGCACUUUAAGUUGGGAGGAAGGGCAUUAACCUAAUACGUUAGUGUUUUGACGUUACCGACAGAAUAAGCACCGGCUAACUCUGUGCCAGCAGCCGCGGUAAUACAGAGGGUGCAAGCGUUAAUCGGAAUUACUGGGCGUAAAGCGCGCGUAGGUGGUUCGUUAAGUUGGAUGUGAAAUCCCCGGGCUCAACCUGGGAACUGCAUUCAAAACUGUCGAGCUAGAGUAUG
RNAcentral lists this ribosomal RNA (595 nucleotides) under uncultured bacterium. RNAcentral describes it as "bacterial SSU rRNA". It matches the Rfam family "Bacterial small subunit ribosomal RNA", at positions 60 to 650 of the family's 1533-position model. The record is from RNAcentral.